Molecule: ribosomal RNA, 497 nt
Filed under: uncultured bacterium
Lineage: Bacteria
Description: partial 16S ribosomal RNA
Rfam family: Bacterial small subunit ribosomal RNA
Source: RNAcentral
GAUGAACGCUGGCGGCGUGCCUAAUACAUGCAAGUCGAGCGAACAGAUGAGGAGCUUGCUCCUCUGACGUUAGCGGCGGACGGGUGAGUAACACGUGGAUAACCUACCUAUAAGACUGGGAUAACUUCGGGAAACCGGAGCUAAUACCGGAUAAUAUAUUGAACCGCAUGGUUCAAUAGUGAAAGACGGUUUUGCUGUCACUUAUAGAUGGAUCCGCGCCGCAUUAGCUAGUUGGUAAGGUAACUGCUUACCAAGGCAACGAUGCGUAGCCGACCUGAGAGGGUGAUCGGCCACACUGGAACUGAGACACGGUCCAGACUCCUACGGGAGGCAGCAGUAGGGAAUCUUCCGCAAUGGGCGAAAGCUUGACGGAGCAACGCCGCGUGAGUGAUGAAGGUCUUCGGAUCGUAAAACUCUGUUAUUAGGGAAGAACAAAUGUGUAAGUAACUAUGCACGUCUUGACGGUACCUAAUCAGAAAGCCACGGCUAACUACGUG